This 261-nucleotide ribosomal RNA is filed under the name uncultured archaeon. Its description in RNAcentral is "partial 16S ribosomal RNA". It matches the Rfam family "Archaeal small subunit ribosomal RNA", at positions 718 to 982 of the family's 1478-position model. The record is from RNAcentral.
GUCUACAUUAGAUACCCCCGUAGUCCCAGCCGUAAACAAUGUGCGUUAGGUGUGUCGGUAACCACGUGUUACUGAUGCGCCGAAGAGAAAUCGUGAAACGCACCACCUGGGAAGUACGGUCGCAAGGCUGAAACUUAAAGGAAUUGGCGGGGGAGCACCACAACAGGUGGAGCCUGCGGUUUAAUUGGAUUCAACGCCGGACAUCUCACCGGAUAAGACAGCUGAAUGAUUGUCAAUCUGAAGGUUUUACAUGACUAGCUG